RNAcentral lists this ribosomal RNA (501 nucleotides) under uncultured Planctomycetota bacterium. Its description in RNAcentral is "bacterial SSU rRNA". It matches the Rfam family "Bacterial small subunit ribosomal RNA", at positions 367 to 884 of the family's 1533-position model. Lineage: Bacteria; Pseudomonadati; Planctomycetota. The record is from RNAcentral.
CCCAAUGCACGAAAGUGUGACGGGGCAAUGCCGCGUGUGGGAUGAAGCCCCUCGGGGUGUAAACCACUGUCAGGGUCUAGGAACACAAUGACCAUACCCAAAGGAAGCACCGGCUAACUCUGUGCCAGCAGCCGCGGUAAUACAGAGGGUGCGAGCGUUAAUCGGAAUCACUGGGCUUAAAGGGUCCGUAGGCGGGACUGCAGGCGUCGAGUGAAAUACCACGGCUCAACCGUGGAACUGCUCGGCGAACCGCAGUUCUUGAGGCGAGUAAAGGCGAUCAGAACGAUAGGUGGAGCGGUGAAAUGCGUAGAUAUCUAUCGGAAUGCCAAAGGUGAAAACAGGUCGCUGGGCUCGUCCUGACGCUGAGGGACGAAAGCGUGGGGAGCAAACGGGAUUAGAUNCCCCGGUAGUCCACGCCGUAAACAAUGCGCACUGGGUCGGNGGGGUUUGACGCCUUUCUGGCCGAAGCAAAAGUGUUAAAUGCGCCGCCUGGGGAGUACG